This 349-nucleotide long non-coding RNA is filed under the name Bos taurus (domestic cattle). RNAcentral's name for it is "long non-coding RNA NONBTAT026125". Lineage: Eukaryota; Metazoa; Chordata; Mammalia; Artiodactyla; Bovidae. The record is from RNAcentral.
GUGUUAAUUAUUAAAGUCAAACCUGAACCCACACAGUCAGCCAACUAGUGUGCUUUGCACUGUGCUGUGAACAGCGGCCUAAGUCUGAAGUCUCAGGAAACGGUCCCUCGGAGCUGGGGCCGGGACCCGCGAGCAGGCACUGCGAGGCCCCACGCCUGCCCUGAGGACCGUCCAUAGCAUCCACUCACCCACCUUAGAUCAGAGUCGAAAGGACAUUUUUAAGAUGCUCCAAAGCUGAGACUCUUAGGAAUAGCAUUGUAACAUGCAGUUUUUACUGCCAUGGCUAAACGUGCGUUCUGUUAUCUGUAAAGCAAUAUUCAUCAGAUUAUUAAUUUGAUAUGUGAAAAAU